Long non-coding RNA from Chelonia mydas (Green sea turtle), 223 nucleotides. RefSeq lists it as uncharacterized. NCBI's taxonomy places the organism in Eukaryota, Metazoa, Chordata, Testudines, Cheloniidae. The record is from RefSeq and is a predicted model, not a curated record. The transcript has 3 exons.
CCUUCACCUGUUUGUAAUAUAUUUACAGAACCCUUAUCUUAUUGCUUUUAUGUCACUUGCUUGGCGUAACUCAUUUUGUGACUUAAUCUUUCUGAUUUUGUCCCCACAUGCUUGUGCUACUCUUUUGUACUCAUCCGUAGCAAUUUGUCCAUGAUUCCACUUCUUUAGGAUUCCUUUUUAGUUUCUGGUCAUUAAAGAGCUCCCGAUAGAAAGAAUAGUAAGU